Molecule: ribosomal RNA, 373 nt
Filed under: uncultured organism
Description: bacterial SSU rRNA
Rfam family: Bacterial small subunit ribosomal RNA
Source: RNAcentral
CAGAGGGUGCGAGCGUUAAUCGGAAUUACUGGGCGUAAGGCGUGUGUAGGUGGUUGUGUAAGUUAGAUGUGAAAUCCCCCGGGCUUAACCUGGGAACUGCGUUUAAAACUGCACAGCUAGAGUAUUGCAGAGGAUAGUGGAAUUUCCAGUGUAGCGGUGAAAUGCGUAGAUAUUGGAAGGAACACCAGUGGCGAAGGCGACUAUCUGGGCAAAUACUGACACUGAGACACGAAAGCAUGGGGAGCAAACAGGAUUAGAUACCCUGGUAGUCCAUGCCGUAAACUAUGAGAACUUGCUGUUGGAUGCAUAAAGGCAUUUAGUAGCGAAGCUAACGCGUUAAGUUCUCCGCCUGGGGAGUACGGCCGCAAGGCUA